This 220-nucleotide ribosomal RNA is filed under the name uncultured bacterium. Its description in RNAcentral is "partial 16S ribosomal RNA". It matches the Rfam family "Bacterial small subunit ribosomal RNA", at positions 129 to 334 of the family's 1533-position model. The record is from RNAcentral.
CCUUUGGGUGGGGAAUAACAGUCGGAAACGGCUGCUAAUACCGCAUAAUGCAGCGGCUCGACAUCGAGACAGUUGUUAAAGCGGGGGAUCGCAAGACCUCGCGCCUAAAGAGAAGCCUGCGGCAGAUUAGCUUGCUGGUAGGGUAAUGGCCUACCAAGGCAACGAUCUGUAGCCGGCCUGAGAGGGCGGUCGGCCACACUGACACUGAAUAACGGGUCAG